GGUUUGUGUGUGGCGGGGUGGGGAAUUCCCAAGGGGUGUCAACUGCUCGAUGGAAACCCCCGCGCGGGCUGCCCUUGUGGCGCUUCUUCAGCUAUACAACCAAGAUACCUGAUUGACUUGUGCAAGAUCAGACUAUUGACAUCUUAGACAGGAAGGAAAUCUUCCUCAGACUGUCAGUUCAAGACUGACUUGCAAAUGAAAGCUGAGGAAACAUGGUGGACAAGGAGGCUGUGGGAAGAUCUGACUUUGCAGAAGCAGCAUUACCACCUUGCUGCCCACCAUGAAUGAGAAUUGCCAGCUUUUUCUCCCAGAAUCUGACUCUUGAAAGACAAGUUGCACGUUUUACUCCCAAUAUAUAGCCAUAUAUCCCAGCCUCUUUCUUGCUCCCUUCUCACUCUCUCCUUCCCUCAAGCUCAUUAAUUCUGUUUCGAUGGGAGCUUCCGAGAGAAAUGGAAUGAAUCAUUCAGCAAGGAGAAAACAUCAACCAUCUAGAAUCCUCAACAUUGAUUUAGAAUCCACUUGAUUAUGGUUUAAAUCAUGACUAAAUAAACAACGCAUGGAAGAGGGAAAAGGGAAAAGUGGCUCACCUAGUGAGGGCCAAGGAAACAAACCGAAACGUCUGUGUGCACACUAAGCCAGGGCCUGAGGAAAAUAUACAAAAUGUAAAGCUC
Molecule: non-coding RNA, 671 nt
Organism: Kogia breviceps (pygmy sperm whale)
Lineage: Eukaryota; Metazoa; Chordata; Mammalia; Artiodactyla; Physeteridae
Source: RefSeq, a predicted model, not a curated record